This 253-nucleotide ribosomal RNA is filed under the name uncultured bacterium. RNAcentral's name for it is "partial 16S ribosomal RNA". It matches the Rfam family "Bacterial small subunit ribosomal RNA", at positions 524 to 776 of the family's 1533-position model. The record is from RNAcentral.
UACGUAGGGUCCAAGCGUUGUCCGGAAUUAUUGGGCGUAAAGAGCUCGUAGGCGGUCUGUUGCGUCGGCUGUGAAAACCCGGGGCUCAACUCCGGGCCUGCAGCCGAUACGGGCAGACUAGAGUUCGGCAGGGGAGACUGGAAUUCCUGGUGUAGCGGUGAAAUGCGCAGAUAUCAGGAGGAACACCGGUGGCGAAGGCGGGUCUCUGGGCCGAUACUGACGCUGAGGAGCGAAAGCGUGGGGAGCGAACAGG